Molecule: non-coding RNA, 1018 nt
Organism: Dermacentor albipictus
Lineage: Eukaryota; Metazoa; Arthropoda; Arachnida; Ixodida; Ixodidae
Source: RefSeq, a predicted model, not a curated record
CACGCGUGUUUUGCCGCAGUCUCGGUGCCUUUUGCGACACUCUUGUGCGUUUUCAAUUCCGUGUGCAAUUUGACGAGUUUACGGCCAUUGUCAUCCAAUUUUAUUUGGUGACGCGCAUGCAUAUUUACGCUCCAUUCCUGCAGCGAGAACCUGCCUUGAAUGCGCAAGUAUGCUCGCAAUCGAGCAAAGCUCAGGUCUUGGCGCUGUCCCUCCUGAAAGCUUCUUUCGGGGGCUUCGCUACGCCGGGCAUUCCCUUCCCGCUGGUGCGGCCUUCGUCAACCUUCAUCAAUGAAGUUGUGGCAAGUGUCUAGGUGGCAAGUGUCUUUGAACCCCAUCUGGAUCACGGCCGCUUGUCAGUGCCUCUGACUCAGCUUACAAGCUCAUUAAGUGUUUCUUUCAACCACUGCGCCAACGCUCCAGCAAAGAACGGUGCGCCCGAAGAGUGCGCUCACCGCCAUGGCUGCCUGACGCGCUACGAUUGGACAACGCCACCUCGGCGGUGUAAACAUAAACCAGCACCGAGGUUACAUUUUAAGCGAAGCCCACCGAUAGGAAGCAAAAUGCAGCAUAGAAAAAGGAGCAAGAAAAGAUGAGGUACAAAUACACUUGGUAACUACAUCGACUUCGCGACUGGUGUGAUAAAGAGCAAGGGCCAUGAAGGGGCACCGGUGCUGAGGACACCUCCAACGACUUCGUGCAGCCUCAUGUUAAGGCUGCUUGCAUAGAUCCAGUCUUACGCAGAAUCGUUUCGAAGAGCCAGGCCUGGAGUGUACUAAGAAGUCGCUGAAUGUUCUCUUGAGCAUUCGUGGCCUCUUGAAAAUUGUCUGAACUUCGCGCUCCCGCGGAUAGCUCGAAGCCGUGAUAAUUGCACAUCGAACUUCCUAGAUUAGGGCAAUUACUUAAAUGUACAUAAAGCGUCUUGCAUAGUGCUUGCUAUCCGAUUUUCCCAGCAGGAAUGUGGGCCAUCUUGGCAUGCUUCCUGCAUAAGCCAUAGGUGAGCUGCUGGUGCAAGGUGUUC